RNAcentral lists this ribosomal RNA (253 nucleotides) under uncultured bacterium. RNAcentral describes it as "partial 16S ribosomal RNA". It matches the Rfam family "Bacterial small subunit ribosomal RNA", at positions 524 to 776 of the family's 1533-position model. The record is from RNAcentral.
UACGAAGGGGGCUAGCGUUGUUCGGAUUUACUGGGCGUAAAGCGCACGUAGGCGGAUCGUUAAGUCGGGGGUGAAAUCCCGGGGCUCAACCCCGGAAUUGCCUUCGAUACUGGCGAUCUUGAGUCCGGAAGAGGUGAGUGGAACUCCUAGUGUAGAGGUGGAAUUCGUAGAUAUUAGGAAGAACACCAGUGGCGAAGGCGGCUCACUGGUCCAUUACUGACGCUGAGGUGCGAAAGCGUGGGGAUCAAACAGG